AUUCGGGUGAUUAGUUUUAACUUUUAAUUAAUCUGUUUACAAGAGAAAUUAGAUACGAAUCAUAUGAUCCUUAAGAGGCGAAUUUAGUAUUUUUUUUCUUCUUCUUCAUACAUUGGAUGAUGCAUGAAGCCAUGGUGCAACAUGGUAAUGGAUUAGGCAUGUAAUAUCAAGUGAUUAAUUAUGGUUCACAUAUAAUCCAUGGGUUUAAUAAUUAUGCUAAUGAAUCUAUGAAUCAUGGAAAAAAAUAUAAAUAGUCGUCAAGAUAUAUUAAUCAAUCCUAUGUAUUGAAUAAAGAAGUGUCACUUUUAAGAAAAAGAGAUGAUAGGGAAACAAGAGCAUGCAUGUGCUAGUGUUGGAUAAGACGACCAGUCUUCGGAAAGAGUUCAAACAUCACCUUGGGAGUUGAUUAGGGACAAAUUAGAGUCGUUUUCUCUUUAUAUUCAUGUUCUUGUUUGGUUAUAAUCAACGCGUUCAGACGUUAACAACAAAUAACAUGA
RNAcentral lists this long non-coding RNA (497 nucleotides) under Brassica napus (rape). Its description in RNAcentral is "long non-coding RNA (BNAP_LNC015115)". Lineage: Eukaryota; Viridiplantae; Streptophyta; Magnoliopsida; Brassicales; Brassicaceae. The record is from RNAcentral.